Molecule: ribosomal RNA, 743 nt
Filed under: uncultured dinoflagellate
Lineage: Eukaryota; Dinophyceae
Description: SSU rRNA
Rfam family: Eukaryotic small subunit ribosomal RNA
Source: RNAcentral
AAAGCUCGUAGUUGGAGUUCUGUUGCGGAAAACUGGUCCGUCUAUCGGGCGGUAUUUAGAUUUUGCGUAUCAUCUUCUUGAAAAGCUUUGCUGUGCUUGAUUGCAUGGUGUGGGAAUCAGGACAUUUACUUUGAGGAAUUUACAGUGUUUCAAGCAGGUUUGUGCUGAAAUAGCCUACCAUGGAAUAAUAACAUGGGGUCUUGGUCUUGUUAGUAGGUUUCUAUGCUGAGGAAACCAUCAAUAGGGAUAGCUGGGGGCAUUUGUACUUAACUGUCAGAGGUGAAAUCUCUUGGAUUUGUAAAGACAAACUACUGCGAAAGCAUUUGUCAAGGAUGUUUUCAUUGAUCAAGAACGAAAGUUAAGGGAUCGAAGACGAUCAGAUACCGUCCUAGUCUUAACCAUAAACAAUGCCAUCUAGAGAUUGGAGGUAGUGCCAAGGAUUACUUCUUCAGCAUCAUUUGAGAAAUCAAAGCUUUUGGGUUCCGGGGGGAGUAUGGUCGCAAGGCUGAAACUUAAAGGAAUUGACGGAAGGGCACCACCAGGAGUGGAGCCUGCGGCUUAAUUUGACUCAACACGGGAAAACUCACCAGAACCAGACAUAAACAGGAUUGACAGAUUGAUAGCUCUUUCUUGAUUUUAUGGGUGGUGGUGCAUGGCCGUUCUUAGUUGGUGGAGUGAUCUGUCUGGUUAAUUCCGUUAACGAACGAGACCUUGUCUUACUAAAUAGUUACAUGUAACUUUGG